RNAcentral lists this ribosomal RNA (223 nucleotides) under uncultured Actinomycetales bacterium. RNAcentral describes it as "partial 16S ribosomal RNA". It matches the Rfam family "Bacterial small subunit ribosomal RNA", at positions 110 to 334 of the family's 1533-position model. The record is from RNAcentral. Lineage: Bacteria; Bacillati; Actinomycetota; Actinomycetes; Actinomycetales.
GUAACACGUGAGUAACCUGCCCUUGACUUUGGGAUAACUUCAGGAAACUGGGGCUAAUACCGGAUAGGAGCUCCUGCUGCAUGGUGGGGGUUGGAAAGUUUCGGCGGUUGGGGAUGGACUCGCGGCUUAUCAGCUUGUUGGUGGGGUAGUGGCUUACCAAGGCUUUGACGGGUAGCCGGCCUGAGAGGGUGACCGGCCACAUUGGGACUGAGAUACGGCCCAG